CAUGAAGAACGGUCAGUGGCUCAAUGAUG
This 29-nucleotide non-coding RNA is filed under the name Rattus norvegicus (Norway rat). Lineage: Eukaryota; Metazoa; Chordata; Mammalia; Rodentia; Muridae. The record is from RNAcentral.